AAGAGACCUAAGGGCUUUAAGCUAGUGUAAGAUUUCAGAAUGACACAGAGGAAGACUGUUGGUCUCUGCUUAAUUUUAGUUUGACUGACAGUCUAGUACGUCUGUUCAUAUUCUGUCUCUCUUCAUCCCAUCCUUGUGAGAAACAGAGCAACAUCUUAUAAAAAUUAAUAUUUUCACCAAAACUGUGUAUUUGGUUAAGAUAUUCUGCUGCCAUCUGAUAGAAAGUAGGACUCAGUAUAAGUCUUCUAUCACUUGUAUUUUAUCCUUCUUUUUUUAUGGUGAAAGGAGUUAUUGCUAGUAGAAAAAUUUAGAACAAACUACAGUCAAGCUUCAUAGCACUAAGGCACUCCUUGUAUUUUAGUGCUGCUGUCAAUAGGCAGGAAAUCACCGAAGCAUCCAACUGUAACUGUCUCAGGUUAGUAGGUUGCAGUCUGUAGUACAGACUGUGCACUCCUGUGGGUCUGUGGCACAUUGCAAGUGAUAACUCAGAUGCAUGGUAAUCUAUUAUAAAGCAUAUCUCCACACCUGGCUCCGUAUUGCAGUGUUUCAUCUGUCCCCCUUCAUUUCCAUCAGCUGUGCGUUAAGCAUUUCCUGCCCCUGAGCUGUACUUCAGCAGAGAUAAUGUACAGCGUGGAGAAGGCUGAGAGCAAAAUCCAAUGGCAGAAAUAUUUAUCUAGGUCAACCCAGUAGCCAUGGAAAGGUCUGCAACUUCUGACAUGGCCUCUGAAAAGCCGAAUCCUUCCCACAGUACUGGAGCUGUUCAGAUGAGGAUCAAAAAUGCUAACAGUCACCAUGACAGACUAAGCCAAAGCAAAUCUAUGAUUCUGUCUGAGAAUGUGAAAGUCCUUGAGCCUGUAAGUAAAAUACUCCUCAUAUUUCAUGUCUUCCAAGUUUUUAGAAGUCACAAAGUUAUCUUGGGUGUGGUUAAGACACCAGCUUCAUGACAGUCCUUUGCACAAAGGGAUUUAAUGGCACUAUUACAUUCUUAAGUGUAUGGCUGGGCACUGGAAGAACAAUUUUCCUUUGCUGAAACACAGAAUUUGGUGGCCAGAAUAACCACAUUUGAACUCUCAAGUGUUACGGUACUUAAAUACAGCUGCUGUAGGGGGAUAACAUAAUCAGAGAUAUGUCAAUUUCUAAACAGGUGAAAACCAGACGAAAGAAAGAAAGAAAGAAAAAAGAAAAAAAAGGAAAUUAACAGUUCUGUACAUAAAGGAUAACUUUGCCAGUAAGAAGAAUGAGGCUUGCUGUAAGAAUGAAUUAAUUGCAAAAUCAAGCACAGAAGAAACCUUAAUAUUUUAAUAGUCGACAGAGUUGAAAGAGCUGACUCAUUUUUUUAUCUAUUACCUUUUUUUUCCCCUUGAAAUUAGGUAGUUAGCAAUGAACUGUUCCGCCAGUUGUGUCCCCUGCCCCCUGUACUCCUCCUGAGCUGCUAAACAAACUGAUUGGUAUGAGUCUCCCCUGGUUAAUUUCCUUCCAUAAUAGUGGCAAGUUGCAGCUGAGGCCAUAUAAUGUUACAAAAUUAUUUAUGCAGUGCUAGCCACUUUUUGGACUCCAGAUCCAUUUUGUUUUCAGAGAAUGCAAAUGAGGGAGAAAACUCUGCUGGCUGGGGACAGAGUCCCAAGUCUCGGUCAUUUUUCACAACCAUGUAAGCUAUUAAUUUUUGUUUUCUUCAUAUAUUGCAUUCCAAUGAAAUAAUCAGCUUUCUCAAAAAGUUACUAAGUGGAGAAAGUCAAUAAUAGCAGCUGAAUUCUCUACCCUAAAAUUCAAACUUUGUUAGAAAUACGUUUGUUACUCCCGAGUUUCUCUGCUAUACCUGAACCUAUUUCAGGGACAUGUAUUUCUGCAAAGAACAAAAAUCUCUUUAUAUGUAUCAUUUCUGAUCAGUUUGAACAAUUCUUACAAUUUCCCACAACACGUUGCACAUAUUUCUUCCUUUUUAUCCAAAGCAAAAUGUUCCACCAGUACGGACCUGAGAUGAUGUUUAUAGUAAUUUACUGGGAAUACUAUAAUGUAUUAUCGGGAAGAACUGUACCUUUGAAGAAGUUUAAAAGUUAAGUAUAUUUAAUGAUGCCUAACAUAUUUUAUUGGCUGUGUUUAACAAAAGGCACUAGGCUGCAGUUGUUUUUGACAAGCAUGAAAACAUCACAGCAUGAGACUGCAAAAGGAAUUAUGUAGAGAAAUUACAAGUGAUCCAUCUCUCAAUGAAUUAUCCACCUUAAUAGCCUGCAGAACUCAGCUACCAAUUAACACCUACUUUAUUACAUGUUGGGAUGUACUUAAUAACUUUCAUGUGUUUAUGCACUAUUACCUUGACUGAUGCCUCUUGUACAAUUAGGCAUAAUUGGCAUAUCAAUAUGCAAAAGUUAAAAGGAUUAACCCUCUUAAAACUAAUGAGCAUUUCUGUAUCCAGCUGCUAAAUGAGACAAAAUUAGCAUUUUUCACUUUUGGGCAGGAUUUUAUCAUGCAGUUUCUCAUUGUUGAUAUUACCUUGUUACAUAACUUUAGUUUUGGGGAUAGUAUGCAGGACUGUUACAGAGCAAGGGCUCUAAAAAGUUAAAUGAGACAUAAAUAUUUCCCACCGCAUCCCAAAAACCAUUGCAGGUACGAUAUCUGUUCAUUGGCCGAGAGCUGAAAAGUUGCUUUGUGCCACGUUUGUUUAGUAGCUAAUUAUCUAAAAGCACAGUUUUACUAUGUAUAUGUCAUUUUUCCCAGCAAUCUUGGCUCCAGUAUAGUAGAAUGAAUGCUUGCCGUGCUACUAAUUCCCUUCCUAUUUCGAUUCUUUUCAUCUCUUUUUGCCACGCUGAAUUUUCUGACUAGAUAUUGACAGACUGAAAGUGGGCGUAUUUGCUUCCAUAAGCCCCUUAAAGUUGUUUGGUGACACCCCAGCCGAAAGCAACAUUCCUAUGGAUCCCAAUGUUUUCAAAUACUUGCAUAAUACGCCGUUCAAUUUGAGUUAAAAGACCACUGAAAUUUCAAUUGCAUGUGUCAACUGCAUGCCAGCAGAUCUGUGCAUGCGACUUGGGAAGGAUUUAGGGAGAAGCAAUGGGGGGGAGCAGUCCCUGGCAUCCAGGAGUCUGGAAAGAGCAGGGCUCAGCUUAUACGCACAUACAUACACAGGUACAUUCAAAUUCAGUAAUCCUCUUUAAAAAUUCAUGACAUACUUUCUUGGUACACUCACAAACCUCACUUUUACAUUUGGAAGCAUGCAGACCCCUGCUGAAAGAUGUGUAUUACUCGUGUGCCAGGCUAAGCCAAUUAUUUUGUGCUAGAAGGGAAAAAAAAAGGAUCUAUCUUGAUUUUCUGUUUGGAAAUCUUCAAUUUUUUGAAGAGCUUGCCUCUGUUCAGAUCAUUACAAAGUAUCCACUGAUCAUUGCUUAUUUUCAGUUUUACGUCGACUGUGUAUUUUUGUCCUAUCGUCGGGGAGAUUUUUAUUUCUGCACCUAUAAAGAGCUGAAUAAAAGACUCCAUGUUACUCUGUCUCUGCCCAUAUUAGGAAUAUGCCUACUAUAAUUCUAUUAAUAAAUGGGUCAAAUCCUCUUUACCUAACUUAUGCAAAACACACUGACUCCAGUGGAUUAAGGCAAUCAGCAUUUGGCACAUUUUGAACAAUCAGCAGAACUAUAUAUUUAUCAAACACGAUUGAAAGAAAAAUAAAAUUAACACUCUGGGCAUAAAGGGCAAAAAAAAAACCAGACGCAAAUCUAGAAAGAUCGCCGGUGAUUUAUGGAGAAGAAAAUACAUAGUUUUCUCAAAGGGAUUUGUUGUAUUCUACACUGUUGGCUGUGAUGUUCCUAAGCACACCUGGGGCUAUACUUCUGAAGGUGGACAGAUUAUUUUCGGCAGUGUGACAAAGAAGGAUAUGCAUCAUACAUCAGCGGGGCCAUAUGCACUUAUGCGUUUUGUGGUUGUAAAGAUGCAAAUGGGGGAGGCAGGAGCUAACUCAUGCAAAAGUGAAAUGUGGAUUCUUGGGGAUUUUUGUUAUUUAUUUGCUACGGAAAUGCUUGAGCAUUGUGCAAAGGUUGAAAUGGAUAUUAACAUAGAGUUUAAAGAGCAUAAAUCAUGAAGCUGGACACACACUGUGGUAAGCAAGGGCUCUCUCUGUGCUUAAUUUAGUGUCUGAACCAGGAACGUAAAUGAAUAUUUGCUAUUUUCAUCUCUUAAACCCCAGGGAAGUGCAUUUUGCUUCAUUCAGAACAACUUCAAACAAUGAAACGUCUUUUUUUAUUGGUGCCUGUAUUAAGAAUUAGAGCCUAUUUAGACAUUCCAAAAUGGUAAUGUAUUAGAGCUUUUUCUGAUGAGGUUAAACAAACUGGUAAGUUGAUUUCUCCCUCUAAUACGUUAUCAUGGAGUGGGAAGCAAUCUUCCUUUGUUUCUUACUCCUGUGAUUGUAGCACACUUGCCAAAGUUAUGGCUAGCCAAAAAGACAGAAAUAAAAUUGCUAAAAAUAUAAGCCUUCUGUUUAGCAGAGUUUUUGAGCCAUAUUUCACAAUCUCGGGGCUUGUACAUGUUUACUUCAAAUCAAGCUUAUAGUCAAGUUUGAGGCUUUGUUUGUAUAGAUUGUCCUGAAGUAGAUCCUGAUAUUUAAUUAAAAUGACACUAAAUCACAUUGAAUUGAUAAGACUUGGCAUCUCAAACAAAGGUAAUUGCCCGUAUUGGUUUUGUACAAAAAUAGAGCUGCUUGGAAAAUGUGCAGCCAACACAGACUGUCAACUCCAUUUAUAGAUCAAUAUGUGAAAACCAUUGAUCAGGCAGGCAUGUGUAACAGUAACACUUUGCAUUUAUUUGUUGUUUUUAUACCAUGUUAAGGCUUACAGGAUUAUCGGCUUCCAAAAUAUUUUGACUUCCUCAUAAAUAUGUUAUCUGUUUAAUGUUAAUUACAAGACAGGCUCCAGCCCUCUUUUCGGUUUCAUUGCUAUGGGUAGUGUCAGCUGAAAAUGGAUUAUUUCAAUCUCUGAGAGAUCAUCACAGCUUCUUUUAUCAUAUAGUUUAUUUAGGGAAAGUUUCUGAGGAUUUGUUUUUACCCAGUUUAUUCUUUUUCCUGGAGGAAAAAAAAAAAAGCAAAUCUUGACAAAAUAUUUCUAGGAGCAGAAAACCUCCUGCUUUCAUUGCUGGAGUGGAAGGUGACUUAUUAUGUUCUAACAGUGAAUGUCCAGGCCUUAUUCUCCCCAGAUAAUCAUGUACUAGUCCAUAAGCCUAGGUCCAGUGUUAAUUCUGAGACAUAAAUAUUGUCACAAAACACAGAAAUAUCAAUUGGAAAAACAAAUAUAUCUGUUGGGCAGCAUUAUCUUUAUCCUUCCUGGAGCAGGAGAAUGAGAAUGAAACACGCCAUAUGUCCUUUUGCUGUGUUCAGCCUGGUUCUGUACCUUCAGAAUUGAGAUCUGCUGUGUGUCAUCCCCACUUACCCCUCUCAUGUCUCUGUUUCCCCAUCCAUCCUGCUGAUGAUGAACCUGAGUGCACGAGGAUAUUUCAGGGUUCCGUUUACUUCAAUGAGCAAGUUUCCCCAUUGGAGCAAUGGGAUUUGGCUCUCAACCCUUUUUCAGGGUCUUUUUCUUAACCUGCAGGCAUUAUUUCAGCCCCAUAUCAGGACAAGUCUCAGAACAAAGCCUUUUG
Meleagris gallopavo (turkey) is the source of this 5613-nucleotide non-coding RNA. NCBI's taxonomy places the organism in Eukaryota, Metazoa, Chordata, Aves, Galliformes, Phasianidae. The record is from RefSeq and is a predicted model, not a curated record.